RNAcentral lists this ribosomal RNA (253 nucleotides) under uncultured bacterium. RNAcentral's name for it is "partial 16S ribosomal RNA". It matches the Rfam family "Bacterial small subunit ribosomal RNA", at positions 524 to 776 of the family's 1533-position model. The record is from RNAcentral.
UACGUAGGUGGCAAGCGUUGUCCGGAUUUAUUGGGUUUAAAGGGUGCGUAGGCGGCACUGUAAGUCAGUGGUGAAAUACUCUAGCUUAACUAGAGGGGUGCCAUUGAUACUGCAGUGCUUGAGUGAAGUCGAGGUAGGCGGAAUUGACGGUGUAGCGGUGAAAUGCUUAGAUAUCGUCAAGAACACCGAUAGUGAAGACAGCUUACUAGACUUAUACUGACGCUGAGGCACGAAAGUGUGGGGAUCAAACAGG